GACGAACGCUGGCGGCGUGCUUAACACAUGCAAGUCGAACGGAAAGGCCCUGCUCUUGCGGGGUGCUCGAGUGGCGAACGGGUGAGUAACACGUGAGUAACCUGCCCCUGACUUUGGGAUAACUUCAGGAAACUGGGGCUAAUACCGGAUAGGAGAUCUUGCUGCAUGGGGGGGGUUGGAAAGUUUCGGCGGUUGGGGAUGGACUCGCGGCUUAUCAGCUUCUUGGUGGGGUAGGGGCUUACCAAGGCUUUGACGGGUAGCCGGCCUGAGAGGGUGACCGGGCACCAUAGGACUGAGGUACGGCCCAGACUCCUACGGGAGGCAGUGGUGGGGAAUAUUGCACAGUAAGCGGAAGCCUGAUGUGGCGGCGCCGCGUGCGGAAUGACGGCCUUCGGGUUGUAAACAAAUUUCGCAUGUGCCGAAGAGUGCGUGACGGUAAUUAGUAAAGAAGCACCGGCUAACUACGUG
This 468-nucleotide ribosomal RNA is filed under the name uncultured bacterium. RNAcentral's name for it is "partial 16S ribosomal RNA". It matches the Rfam family "Bacterial small subunit ribosomal RNA", at positions 28 to 507 of the family's 1533-position model. The record is from RNAcentral.